RNAcentral lists this ribosomal RNA (209 nucleotides) under uncultured bacterium. RNAcentral's name for it is "partial 16S ribosomal RNA". It matches the Rfam family "Bacterial small subunit ribosomal RNA", at positions 568 to 776 of the family's 1533-position model. The record is from RNAcentral.
CGCGUAGGCGGUGCGGUGCGGUUUCGGUGAAAUCCCUCGGCCCAACCGAGGAACAGCCGGGGCUACGGCCGCGCUAGACGGCAUCAGGGGACAGUGGAACUCCCGGUGGAGCGGUGAAAUGCGUAGAUAUCGGGAGGAACGCCGGUGGCGAAAGCGACUGUCUGGGGUGCCUGUGACGCUGAGGCGCGAAAGCCAGGGGAUCAAAACGG